RNAcentral lists this long non-coding RNA (2321 nucleotides) under Homo sapiens (human). Its description in RNAcentral is "HSALNT0299730". Lineage: Eukaryota; Metazoa; Chordata; Mammalia; Primates; Hominidae. The record is from RNAcentral.
CCUUCUGCCUGCCCCUCGUCUGGCUCUGCGUUUCUCCUCAGCAUGUUGUCACCUGACACGCUGUGGACUCGAUUUGAUUUGUGCGUCCUCAUUCUGUCCUCGCUAGGAUGGAGGUUCCACGAGAACAGGGCUUUCCUCUGGCUGCUGACGACGGAGCUCCCGGCACCUGCACGAGUGCGUGGCGCGUGGGAGCAGGUGUGCGCUGAGUGCUCGGUGCAGUUGCUGGCAGCGCGUGCACGUCCGCAGCUGUGAGCGUAGCUCUAGCAGUGUAGACACCUGGGAAAGUCGGGGCCCAAUCAGUGAGCUGCUCCUGCCCCUCAUCCGCUCCAAAUUUUGAGUCUGUGUCACCCACUUUGCAGCUUUUCCAUCUACUCUGAUAGAAUCGUCUCGAUAGGACAAUGCCUAUUCCUGUUCUGAGCCUAAGUUCUAUCUCCUGCAUGGGUCACAAAGCCGAGCCCCUGGCCACUGAGGCCUCCCCGUUCGCCUCCCAGAGGCCGCCACUUUCUUCAGGGCUAUCAGAUGAAGGCAGCAACGAAAACACCACCACAAGACCAACUUCAGGCUGGAGCUGAUGAUGCCACACAGGGGCUUCCUGGAGCUCCUGCAACCCCAGGCAUUAGUUCCGGUGCAGUUCUAGGAUCAGAUCAAUUCACUCGACAACAAGAGAAACAAAUGGAGAUUCCUACACAAAGACUUUCAAGCACAAAGAAAUCCUGCUGCCUGUAAAGCGGAGCUGCCUCAGCCCUUGAUGAACGACAGAAAAUACCACCUACUGCCAGACCUCAACGCCUCACAAAACUCUCACCCACCUACUGCUUUUAGCUCACAUUCCAGGAAUUCAGAUGAAGUGAAGUGCUCUCAUGGGGACCAGGCAUGGUUAUGCCAGUCCACUGCCCUGCAAGCCUCAAGGGAAGCCAACUGCCCUUCAGCAAGUCACACCUGCCUUGGUGGAGGCCUUGAUUGGAAGUGCCACACGCUACAUGUCCAGUCCUGAGCGGGAGAAUCGGUGUAGGGACGUUCUGGGGAUGCCAGCUGUGGCCAGAUCAGGUCCAACUACAGAAGAAUAAUGAAGACUCCACCUGAGGGCUGGAAAAACAAAACCUCAAGUGUGAGGCAGCCAACCUGUUACCUCGAGGGACUGUUCCGCAGCACAGCGGGGCCAUGGGAACAGCAGCAGACACCCCGACCUCCUCGCUACCUGUAUCAACUAUGGCCUGAGUAUGAUAGACUUAUCCAUGGUUUAAACAGAAUAUAUUGUUUUCAACUUUGAAAAUAAGAAUAUGGAAAUCCAGAUGCAGAAAUGUGAGAAGAAAAGAGAGUAAACAGAGUGGAAGGUCAGGUGACCUUGCCUGUCAUGAAUAUGAAGGUCAAGGUGUGUGAAUUGUGAAAUUUCCAAGAGAACCUCACUGAAGCAAAGAAUGAAGAAAGAAUUGCAUUUGGCCCUGGGAGGGUGCAGGGGUGAAUGGUGCAGGAGCUAAAUCUUUAUCAUACCCAGAAAUCAACAGCCACUAUUUGAAAUCAUCUAAAUUCGUGCUGCUAACCUUCAGUGUACACACGAAUCACCUGGGGAUCUUACUAAAAGCUAGUUUCUGAUUCACUAAAUCUGUGUGUGGUGGAAGUUGAGGGCAGAGAAGCUCCCGAGGGUGUCAAGCUGACUCUGAACCCGACUUUGAGGGUUAAGGUCCCAAAUGGCAUCGCCAGCACCAGGGACAGACACUAAAAUUGUAGAAAUCGUCUCAAGAAAUGAACAGCCUCUAAGUCAGAUGUUGAAUGUGAAAGAAAUCAGGGUGUGUACGUGUGUGUGCAUUUGUGUGUGCACGUGUGUGCCUGUGUUUGUCUCUGUGCAUGUAUGUUUCUAUGUGUGCACAUGUGUGUAUGUGUCUGUACAUGUGUGUUUCUGUGUGUGUGCCUGUGUGUGUAUUGGCUUAGAUCUGUUCGAGACUUUUUAUUUGAUGAGAUCGAUAUAUGCCACCACUUUUGGAAAGGACAACGUAUAUACAAAGACAAUGAUUACUUAUGUAAUGUGAACGGAGUCUCUCUUCGACCCUCAAAUGUUUUGUAGAAAGUAAUGAUGAUGGUGAGGAUUAUAACAAUGCGUGUUUCCUGAAUAACAAAAAGGAGUUACAGUACACUUUUACCUAUUUUUCCAAAGCGCUAGGUCAAGUUUAGCUAAAGUCUGCUUGGAAUUAAUGAGGCUUGGAAAUGUAAAAUCUCAGAGCAGUAAACAUCUCUUUGUCCUAAUGUUCUUAUGUAGCCAUUAAAACUUAAAUAUUAAUACUAAAAUAACUACUGUAAAAUAAAGUAAAAAUGUACGAGAAUAA